This 417-nucleotide ribosomal RNA is filed under the name uncultured eukaryote. Its description in RNAcentral is "bacterial SSU rRNA". It matches the Rfam family "Eukaryotic small subunit ribosomal RNA", at positions 592 to 1017 of the family's 1831-position model. The record is from RNAcentral.
CAAUAGCGUAUAUUAAAGUUGUUGCGGUUAAAAGCUCGUAGUUGGAUUUCUGUCGAAGACGGCCGGUCCGCUCUAUGAGCGUGUAUCUGGUUCGGCUUUGGCAUCCUCGUGGGGAACGUAACUGUGCUUGAUUGCAUGGUGCGGAAUUCACGACUUUUACUUUGAGGAAAUUAGAGUGUUCACGGCAGGCAAGCGCCUUGAAUACAUUAGCAUGGAAUAAUAACAUAGGACCUUGAGUCGUUGUUGUUGGUUGACGACACAAGGUAAUAAAAAUAGGGAUAGUUGGGGGCAUUCGUAUUACAAUGUCAGAGGUGAAAUUCUUGGAUUAUUGUACGACGGACUACUGCGAAAGCAUUUGCCAAGGAUGUUUUUUUAAUCAAGAACGAAAGUUAGGGGAUCGAAGACGAUUAGAUACCG